RNAcentral lists this ribosomal RNA (492 nucleotides) under uncultured bacterium. RNAcentral's name for it is "partial 16S ribosomal RNA". It matches the Rfam family "Bacterial small subunit ribosomal RNA", at positions 29 to 507 of the family's 1533-position model. The record is from RNAcentral.
AGUGAACGCUGGCGGUAGGCCUAACACAUGCAAGUCGAACGGCAGCACAGUAAGAGCUUGCUCUUACGGGUGGCGAGUGGCGGACGGGUGAGGAAUACUUCGGAAUCUACUUUUUCGUGGGGGAUAGCGUAGGGAAACUUACGCUAAUACCGCAUACGACCUACGGGUGAAAGCAGGGGAUCUUCGGACCUUGCGCGAUUGAAUGAGCCGAUGUCGGAUUAGCUAGUUGGCGGGGUAAAGGCCCACCAAGGCGACGAUCCGUAGCUGGUCUGAGAGGAUGAUCAGCCACACUGGAACUGAGACACGGUCCAGACUCCUACGGGAGGCAGCAGUGGGGAAUAUUGGACAAUGGGCGCAAGCCUGAUCCAGCCAUACCGCGUGGGUGAAGAAGGCCUUCGGGUUGUAAAGCCCUUUUGUUGGGAAAGAAAAGCAGCAGGUUAAUACCCCGCUGUUCUGACGGUACCCAAAGAAUAAGCACCGGCUAACUUCGUG